Molecule: ribosomal RNA, 253 nt
Filed under: uncultured bacterium
Lineage: Bacteria
Description: partial 16S ribosomal RNA
Rfam family: Bacterial small subunit ribosomal RNA
Source: RNAcentral
UACAGAGGGGGCGAGCGUUGUUCGGAAUUACUGGGCGUAAAGGGCGCGUAGGCGGCCCGCUAAGUCGAACUUGAAAUCCCCAGGCUCAACCUGGGAACUGCGUCCGAUACUGGCAGGCUUGAAUCCGGGAGAGGGAUGUGGAAUUCCAGGUGUAGCGGUGAAAUGCGUAGAUAUCUGGAGGAACACCGGUGGCGAAGGCGGCAUCCUGGACCGGUAUUGACGCUGAGGCGCGAAAGCUAGGGGAGCAAACGGG